ACCUAUUAUGGGAUACACGUUUUUAAACAUCCUUUUGUGUGUAAGUGUGCAUUAGUACAUGCUAACGAUAUUCAAAAAGUACAUACCUCAAAGAAAACGAUGACACGAGUUAUCGUCUCUAACGUUCGAGGACUACAAAAAACACUCGGAUUGUAGGCAACAGUUUACUUCCUGGGAUUAGUGACGUAGAUAAGACCAACAUUAUCAUAGUUCAGCCCUCUCUGCUUUGCUUGGGUACGCCCUCAAAGACGAGGGUGGGGUGGGGAGCGCCGAGUCAGAAGAGAGCUAAAAUGGCGGAGGUUGUGAGUCCCUGCUUUUACUCUGUUUGCAAACUCUUGUUUCAUCGUUUAAGCGAUUAAAUCUCUCGAGUAGACGCUGUCUCUUUAGAUGCGAGGGCAAAAUAGCACUUUAUGGACUUCCACAGAGGACAUCAUGUUUAAUACGGUUCCGGAAAAAUCCAGUCAGAAGUUGUUCACGGAGUUUUCACAAUAACUGCUUCUCAUGAACCGAAGCUGGAUUUGCGCGACGUCUCCUCUUGAAAGUUGGAUUACUGUGCACUUCUGGAUCACAGACUAUUCGCAGCUGGACACAUCCUUCUACACUGUAUGCAAACAUGCAACAUCAUUACACACAGUACAAGGAGUCAGACUGGCAUAUGAGGAGCAAAGGAACCCAGGCAGUAGCAUCGUUUCACAAUGUUUCCAUCAUCAUCAUCAGUGGAUGCUUUUGCCGUCCGUAGCCUGAGAUUUCAGAUUUGCAGCAAAAAAAAUUGAUUUUCUCAUUUAUUGGAAUGCUGUGCAGGUAUUUGUACCUUGCAGCCAUCCAUUACAAUGUCACCAAGCCGUAACAAAAGCAGGAGAGGAAAAGUACAAGGCUAUGUUCCCAAAACACAAAUGACAUACCUUAUGUGGAGGAUGUGAUCAGGCUUGUGUUUGAUGAGGUAUUUGAAGAUAAGCUGAAGGAAACCCCGAUUCCAAUGGACCUGGCAUCACAGUUUGAGAGACCUUCAAAGGAGGACGUGAUUGCAUGCCAUCUUCAGUGCA
Non-coding RNA from Paramisgurnus dabryanus, 1043 nucleotides. Lineage: Eukaryota; Metazoa; Chordata; Actinopteri; Cypriniformes; Cobitidae. The record is from RefSeq and is a predicted model, not a curated record.